UUGCUGUUUUACCUCAAUUUAUCCACACUCUAAUUAAUUUUAAAACGAAUUGUAAUUGAUGUAACGCAUCUAAUACUAAGUUUCAACAACGGAUCUUUUGGCUCUCGCAUCGAUGAAGAACGCAGCGAAAUGCGAUAAGUAAUGUGAAUUGCAGAAUUCAGUGAAUCAUCGAAUCUUUGAACGCACCCUUGCGCUCCUUGGUAUUCCUUGGAGCAUGCCUGUUUGAGUAUCAUGAAAUCUUCAAAGCAAACCUUUUGUUAAUUCAAUCGGUCUCUUGCUUUGGUAUUGGAGGUCUUUGCAGCUUUCACACCUGCUCCUCUUGUUUCAUUAGCUGGAUCUCAGUGUUAUGCUUGGUUCCACUCGGCGUGAUAAGUUAUCUAUCGCUGAGGACACCGUAAAAAAGUGGCCAAGGUAAAUGCAGACGAACCGCUUCUAAUAGUCCAUUGACUUGGACAAUUAAAUUUUAUGAUCUGAUCUCAAAUCAGUAGACACCAGUAU
RNAcentral lists this ribosomal RNA (498 nucleotides) under Rhizoctonia solani. RNAcentral describes it as "eukaryotic LSU rRNA". The stretch from base 78 to 232 matches the Rfam family "5.8S ribosomal RNA". The record is from RNAcentral. Lineage: Eukaryota; Fungi; Basidiomycota; Agaricomycetes; Cantharellales; Ceratobasidiaceae.